AUGAGCCAUCGCGCCUGGCCUCCUGUCAUUCCUUCAGUGUGAUGCCCUGUGCCUGGCCUGAGAGAUAUGCACAUGAUCUUGUUUACCGUAUGCCCCUCCACAGCCCUGGGAGGAGGCACACAUACUGUCAUCCUACAUGACAGAUGAGAAAACUGAGGCUCAGCCAGGCCAGGCUUACUCAAGUCCACACAGCUGGAAGCGGAGCAGACCGGAGCCAGAUGUUGAGACAAUGCUCUUAGCCCAGGGCAGGUCUUUGAGGACUCUCACAUGUCUGCAGCUGGGACCCCCUCCAGACCACGAGCCUCUCAACCCCUCCCUGAAGAGGCAGUGGUGUGCUUUAUCCACAGAUGCUUGCGUCUCCAGCUUUAUCCACGGAUGCUUGCGUCUCCAGCUUUAUCCACGGAUGCUUGCGUCUCCAGCUUUAUCCACGGAUGCUUGCGUCUCCAGCUUUAUCCACGGAUGCUUGCGUCUCCAGCUUUAUCCACGGAUGCUUGCGUCUCCAGCUUUAUCCAUGGAUGCUUGCGUCUCCAGCUUCCCUUCUUCUGCAGUCCGAUGCUCUACCCCUGAGCUAUACCCCCGCCCCUUCCCUUCUUCUGGCUUCUGGGUCUUCCAGGAACCUUGGACAACCUGUGAAGCCAUUAGCACUAUCAGCCUGUAAUAGGGAACUACGAGCCCUGCUGACCAGGGAGUCUCUGAAUCCCAGAACCCUGAAGCCACUUGGCCAAGGUCACAGAGGUGGAAAAAGGAGGAGCUGGACGCCAGUGUAGAUGGUGAAAUUAGACCCAUUACAUCUUCUGGAGAAACUGGAAGGGGCUUGCAGUAGGUUGAAUGGUGGCCGCCCCAGAAGAUAUGUCCUUGGAACCUGCUAAUGAAACCUUACUUGAAAAAGGCAUCUUUGGGCCGGGCACAGUGGCUCACACCUGUAAUCCCAGCACUUUGCGAGGCCAAGGCCAGUGGAUCACCUGA
This is an RNA transcript of Homo sapiens (human), 966 nucleotides long. RefSeq lists it as uncharacterized. The transcript is spliced from 3 exons. NCBI's taxonomy places the organism in Eukaryota, Metazoa, Chordata, Mammalia, Primates, Hominidae. The record is from RefSeq and is a predicted model, not a curated record.